Molecule: ribosomal RNA, 460 nt
Filed under: uncultured bacterium
Lineage: Bacteria
Description: partial 16S ribosomal RNA
Rfam family: Bacterial small subunit ribosomal RNA
Source: RNAcentral
CCUACGGGAGGCAGCAGUGAGGAAUAUUGGUCAAUGGACGCAAGUCUGAACCAGCCAUGCCGCGUGCAGGCAGACGGCUCUAUGAGUUGUAACCUGCUUUUGUACGAGGGUAAACGCAGAUACGCGUAUCUGUCUGAAAGUCUCGUACGAAUAAGGAUCGGCUAACUCCGGUCCAGCAGCCGCGGUAAUACGGAGGAUUCAAGCGUUAUCCGGAUUUAUUGGGUUUAACGGGUGCGUAGGCGGUCGGAUAAGUUAGAGGUGAAAUCCCGAGGCUCAACUUCGGAAUUGCCUCUGAUACUGUUCGGCUAGAGAGUAGUGGCGGUAGGCGGAAUGUAUGGUGUAGCGGUGAAAUGCUUAGAGAUCAUACAGAACACCGAUUGCGAAGGCAGCUUACCAAGCUACUUCUGACGUUGAGGCACGAAAGCGUGGGGAGCAAACAGGAUUAGAUACCCUUGUAGUC